UGUUGAAAGGGAAAGCGCUUGUGACCAGACUUGGGCGCGGCGGAUCAUCCGGGGUUCUCCCCGGUGCACUUCGCCGUGUCCAGGCCAGCAUCAGUUCGUCGCGGGGGAAAAAGGCUUCGGGAACGUGGCUCCCCUGGGAGUGUUAUAGCCCGUUGCAUAAUACCCUGCGGUGGACUGAGGACCGCGCAUCUGCAAGGAUGCUGGCGUAAUGGUCACCAGCGAC
This 223-nucleotide ribosomal RNA is filed under the name Trichoderma sp. RNAcentral's name for it is "partial large subunit ribosomal RNA". The record is from RNAcentral. Lineage: Eukaryota; Fungi; Ascomycota; Sordariomycetes; Hypocreales; Hypocreaceae.